This 500-nucleotide ribosomal RNA is filed under the name uncultured bacterium. Its description in RNAcentral is "partial 16S ribosomal RNA". It matches the Rfam family "Bacterial small subunit ribosomal RNA", at positions 28 to 507 of the family's 1533-position model. The record is from RNAcentral.
GACGAACGCUGGCGGCGUGCCUAAUACAUGCAAGUCGAGCGGACUUGAAGGAGUGCUCGCACUCCUGAGAGUUAGCGGCGGACGGGUGAGUAACACGUAGGCAACCUGCCCUCAAGACUGGGAUAACUACCGGAAACGGUAGCUAAUACCGGAUAAUUUAUUACAUCGCAUUAUGUGAUAAUGAAAGACGGAGCAAUCUGUCACUUGGGGAUGGGCCUGCGGCGCAUUAGCUAGUUGGUGGGGUAACGGCCCACCAAGGCGACGAUGCGUAGCCGACCUGAGAGGGUGAACGGCCACACUGGGACUGAGACACGGCCCAGACUCCUACGGGAGGCAGCAGUAGGGAAUCUUCCGCAAUGGGCGAAAGCCUGACGGAGCAACGCCGCGUGAGUGAUGAAGGUUUUCGGAUCGUAAAGCUCUGUUGCCAAGGAAGAACGUCUCAUAGAGUAACUGCUAUGAGAGUGACGGUACUUGAGAAGAAAGCCCCGGCUAACUACGUG